RNAcentral lists this long non-coding RNA (1724 nucleotides) under Oryctolagus cuniculus (rabbit). Its description in RNAcentral is "lncRNA (ENSOCUG00000038341.1)". The record is from RNAcentral. Lineage: Eukaryota; Metazoa; Chordata; Mammalia; Lagomorpha; Leporidae.
GCUGCCGGGCCUGGGAGAGAUGCCAAGGGCGUAGCGCCCGAAUUUCGUUUGCGCGGAACAGCUCCCUUUGGCUUUUCCCGGUUCCCACAAGUCCCCGAGUUGCGGAUUUUGAGGAGUCCCUCGCCAACCCACACCCACCAAUGCUCAAUUCUUUCAGGGCCUCCCCACGCACUUUCACGUCCAUCAGGUCGCCCCGCCCUCUCCCGUCCCACGAGGCCUCCCCCUACACCCCCCGCCACGUGGUCAAGCUGGGCCCUCGCCCCUCGCACUGGCUCCGGACUCUGCGGGCCCCAGCAGCCCCUCCAUCCCCGAGCCCCGUUUUCUUCCUUCCGCGGCUGCCUCCUCCUCUUCCUCUUCGCAGGGCCUCCACGUAUUUCUCGUGCGUUUGGGGAGGGGCGGGCCGCCACAGCCUCGGUGGCCGAAGAGGCCGCCACGACCACCCCUCAUCCCCGCGAACUACAGCGCCGCCGCCCGCGUGCUCGCGAGCGAGCCCACGGGCCAAGGGCACGAGGGCAGGGGGAGCCGUGGGACGCAGCCCUCCCGUUCGUUUGGCAAACGGGGCUGCCUGCGUCGGGGCCCAACGAGGAAGGGAGCCCCUGGGGGUGCCACGCACCGGAAGCCUCUCUGACCCUCACCGUGUCUCCGUUUUGCCGAAGAGGGAGCUGCGGUGAAGGGCGCGGCGGGCCCCUCAGCGCCACAGCAAGGCCACGGAGGAGCAGCCAUGUGCAAGCACCGUGGACCACACUGACACUGCUCCUGCUACAAGCUAAGGGCUCCAGAAAAGAACAGACCCUCAGGACACAGCUGGUAAAUGCCAUGUGCUGUGGGCGUGGGGGGACAGACAAGGUGUUCCAGAUAACUUCCGGGGCAGAGGGUGGAUGGAGACUUGGUUUGAGACAUCUCUGCGGGGGAGCUCCAGGGCAGCAGCGGGUUGGGUGGCUGCGGAGGUUGGGCGGCGUGGGGUACAACACUUGUGUGUGUUUAUGUGUGUGUGUGUGUGUGUGCAUGGGAAGGGCUGAGAUGUGCAUCAUUAUCAGAAUUAUCAGAGCAAACCGACUCUUUAUUACGUGUAUAAUUUCCCUGUGUCCCAUCAGGUCCCCCGUGCACGGGGAGCUGGGAGCUGGAGUGGAACUGAACCAAAUAGGGGAUUUAGCAACUUUGAAGGGCUGAGGCAGAGCUUAAAGUACUAAUGAUGGAUGGUGAUGGCAGGUGGGGAGUGUCACCAGUGAUGGAGAGAGAGUGGAGGAGGGGAUGUUGGUUAGGAUGGGGGCAGGGACCAGGGUCAAGCCCCACCUUCUGGGAGGAGGUCUGGGAGAAAGUCCAAGGACAGAAAGUUCCCCAGGAAAGCUUGGGGAAAGAAAGAGGGAGGGAGUGGGAAAGCCCAGCCCAGUCCAGCCCAGGUCUGCUGGGGGUCGGGGCCCCAGCCCGAGGGCCUGGCUGCACAGCCUCUCCCCGUUACAGGGCUGUUUUCUGGAGGGUUAGCCGUGUUGAGUUCAGAUCUCAGCUUUGCAGGCGAGCCUGGGGCAAGUCACUUGUCAGAGCGGUACAAUAACGGGGGUGACGACAUUCACCUUGCAGGGGUGCGCUGAUGGUCAAACAGUAACCCGAAAACUUGGCACCUGGGAAGCACUCAAUGAAUGAUGCUUUGGAGUAAAGCUGCUGGAUCUGUCAUAAAUCUCCGUCAUCGACUUGCCCAUCAACCAAGCAACACCUCUCGCCUCCCC